UACGUAGGGGGCAAGCGUUGUCCGGAAUCAUUGGGCGUAAAGAGCGUGUAGGCGGCUCGGUAAGUCCGCUGUGAAAGUCCAGGGCUCAACCCUGGAAUGCCGGUGGAAACUGUCGAGCUAGAGUCCGGAAGAGGCGAGUGGAAUUCCUGGUGUAGCGGUGAAAUGCGCAGAUAUCAAGUGGAACACCAGUGGCGAAGGCGAGUCCCUGGACGACUCCUGACACUGAGGCACGAAAGCUAGGGGAGCAAACAGG
This 253-nucleotide ribosomal RNA is filed under the name uncultured bacterium. Its description in RNAcentral is "partial 16S ribosomal RNA". It matches the Rfam family "Bacterial small subunit ribosomal RNA", at positions 524 to 776 of the family's 1533-position model. The record is from RNAcentral.